GGUAAGUUUGAUUACCCCUGCCGAGGCUGCUGUGUGUGCAUGUCUUUUUGGCAUUUGUGGAGCUCAGUUGUUUUUUGUGUGUGUAUGUUUUAACUUUCUGUUUUUCUGAGCAGUAAAUAGUGUGUUUGCUGAGUGUGGUUGGCAGGAGGAGGUGGGGAGCUGCUCAGGACUGGUAGGUUUGGUUUCUCGGAGAGUACGGCAGCCUUCCUGUGUGAUGUGACGGAUUGUUGGGCGGUAACAUUCCAGCUUGUGUGUCUUAGGCAAUGUAGCCUGUGUAGUGUGUGUUGUGUGGCCUGGGCAGAUUUUGUUGUGGUGCUGUGAGUGAAGAAUCUGAGUUAGAGGUGGUGAGCAGCUGAAGUACCGGAGCUGGGAAGAGAGAGGUCUUGCAGCAGGUACGCUGUGGCUGUGAGGUGCCUCAGAGUAUGCUUUUCCCUUGUCUCUGCAGGUGCUUUGUGCAGUCGUGGACAGGGAAGGGAAAUCCUCCUGUGAUGGAGCUCUGAGGGAAGGUGAGUGUUGCCAGCCUGGUCAUGCCUUAUCUGAAGUGAAGUGAAGACGCUCAGGUGUUUCCCUGUGAGGGUCUGAGGUGUUGUGGAUGAUGGUGGCCGCUCCUUUCAAGCUUGGACCUAAUUUGCAGGUCCAGAGGUUGAAAUGCAGCGUGCAGUGCGCAGUGCAGGACGUCUCGACCCGAGCUGCCUCUGCAGUGACUCUGAGGUGCUAUAAGGGGGUGAAGAGAAGAGAUGGAAGCAUGUGCCAUGUGGGGCAGGCAAGCGGCUGAGGUACAGGAGGGGAUGAGAGUAUGUGAUUUUUUUCUGGGGAUGGAAUAGAAUUAAUUUUGUUGGUGUAUAAUCUGUUCCGCUCCUAGAUUUUUCUUUCAAUGCAAA
Molecule: long non-coding RNA, 881 nt
Filed under: Anas platyrhynchos platyrhynchos (common mallard)
Lineage: Eukaryota; Metazoa; Chordata; Aves; Anseriformes; Anatidae
Description: lncRNA (ENSAPLG00000018027.1)
Source: RNAcentral